Molecule: ribosomal RNA, 682 nt
Filed under: uncultured bacterium
Lineage: Bacteria
Description: bacterial SSU rRNA
Rfam family: Bacterial small subunit ribosomal RNA
Source: RNAcentral
GAAAGUCAGGUGUGAAAGCCUACAGCUUAACUGUAGAACUGCACUUGAAACUCCCAACCUAGAGUAUGGAAGGGGCAGAUGGAAUUAGUGGUGUAGGGGUAAAAUCCGUAGAUAUCACUAGGAAUACCGAAAGCGAAGGCGAUCUGCUGGGACAUUACUGACGCUAAGGCGUGAAAGCGUGGGGAGCAAACAGGAUUAGAUACCCUGGUAGUCCACGCCCUAAACGAUGAACACUAGUCGUCGCUCUGCUAGUCAGGGCGGUGAUGCACUUAACAGAUUAAGUGUUCCGCCUGGGGAGUACGGUCGCAAGAUUAAAACUCAAAGGAAUAGACGGGGACCCGCACAAGUGGUGGAGCAUGUGGUUUAAUUCGAAGAUACGCGAAGAACCUUACCUGGCCUUGACAUUGAUUGAACACUCUAGAGAUAGAGUGGUGCCCUUCGGGGAACAUGAAAACAGGUGCUGCACGGCUGUCGUCAGCUCGUGUCGUGAGAUGUUGGGUUAAGUCCCGCAACGAGCGCAACCCUCGUCCUUAGUUGCUAGCAGUUCGGCUGAGCACUCUAAGGAGACUGCCUUCGCAAGGAGGAGGAAGGUGAGGACGACGUCAAGUCAUCAUGGCCCUUAUGGCCAGGGCUACACACGUGCUACAAUGGGGCGUACAGAGUGUUGCGAUACCGUGAGGUG